GCCCACAUCACUGGAGGUGGUUUUACAGAUAACAUACCUCGAGUUUUUCCAGAAGGUCUUGGAGCUGUUAUUUAUAAUAACUCCUGGGAAGUCCCAACUGUCUUCAAAUGGCUGCAAGAGGCUGGACGAAUAGAAGAUGCGGAGAUGAGGCGGACUUUUAACAUGGGUAUUGGCAUGGUUCUAAUCGUUACUGAGGAAGCAUCCCACAAAAUACUUGAGGAUGGACGUUAUAAAGCAUAUCGUAUUGGUGAAGUUGUAAAGGGUGAAGGGGUGAGCUGUCAUUAAAACAUGCAAUCUUUACCCAUUCCAUUUGAGUGUGUUACCUGAGAUGAGAAAUACAGUGAAUUGUAGCUUUUGUCAAUUUAACUUGAAAUAUUCUGUCUUAAA
Molecule: unclassified non-coding RNA, 387 nt
Filed under: Hevea brasiliensis (rubber tree)
Lineage: Eukaryota; Viridiplantae; Streptophyta; Magnoliopsida; Malpighiales; Euphorbiaceae
Source: RNAcentral